UUUUUUCGCCGAAAAGCUUAAA
This 22-nucleotide small nuclear RNA is filed under the name Arabidopsis thaliana (thale cress). RNAcentral describes it as "snRNA_19153". Lineage: Eukaryota; Viridiplantae; Streptophyta; Magnoliopsida; Brassicales; Brassicaceae. The record is from RNAcentral.